GAGGGCAUAGUACAGGGGUAGAGGACAUGCUUAGCAUGCACGAGAUCCUGGGUUCAAUUCCCAGUACCUCCA
RNAcentral lists this transfer RNA (72 nucleotides) under Camelus bactrianus (Bactrian camel). It matches the Rfam family "tRNA". From Rfam's summary of the family: Transfer RNA (tRNA) molecules are approximately 80 nucleotides in length. The record is from Rfam by way of RNAcentral. Lineage: Eukaryota; Metazoa; Chordata; Mammalia; Artiodactyla; Camelidae. RNAcentral also lists the same sequence under 2 other names.